Small nucleolar RNA from Lathyrus oleraceus (garden pea), 123 nucleotides. NCBI's taxonomy places the organism in Eukaryota, Viridiplantae, Streptophyta, Magnoliopsida, Fabales, Fabaceae. The record is from RefSeq and is a predicted model, not a curated record.
GAGCAAGAACUCCAAUUGAUGGCUGCUUCUUGCAUUGAAGGUUGGCGAUAAAGAACUCUGGCGAUUCUCCGUGCCUAUCAAAUUUAUCGGUUUUGAAUAUGGCCUCGAACAAGUUGCUACAUU